GUCUUAAUAGUUAAAAAAUAACACUGUCUUUUCGUGACAGAGGUGGCCUCCAGGCCUUUAGAUU
This 64-nucleotide transfer RNA is filed under the name Placida sp. 1 NY-2013. Its description in RNAcentral is "tRNA-Glu". The record is from RNAcentral. Lineage: Eukaryota; Metazoa; Mollusca; Gastropoda; Limapontiidae.